RNAcentral lists this ribosomal RNA (1310 nucleotides) under metagenome. RNAcentral's name for it is "bacterial LSU rRNA". It matches the Rfam family "Bacterial large subunit ribosomal RNA", at positions 1626 to 2925 of the family's 2925-position model. The record is from RNAcentral.
UUCAGUCUAGAGUUGACCGUACCGCAAACCGACACAGGUGGGCAGGAUGAAAAUUCUAAGGCGCUUGAGAGAACUCAGGAGAAGGAACUCGGCAAGUUAACACCGUAACUUCGGGAGAAGGUGUGCCCCGGUAGCGUGUAGAGACUUGCUCUCGAAGCGCGAUGGGGUUGCAGUGAAAUGGUGGCUGCGACUGUUUAAUAAAAACACAGCACUCUGCAAACACGAAAGUGGACGUAUAGGGUGUGACGCCUGCCCGGUGCCGGAAGGUUAAGUGAUGGGGUGCAAGCUCUUGAUCGAAGCCCCGGUAAACGGCGGCCGCAACAAUAACGGUCCUAAGGUAGCGAAAUUCCUUGUCGGGUAAGUUCCGACCUGCACGAGUGGCGUAACGAUGGCCACACUGUCUCCUCCUGGGACUCAGCGAAGUUGAAAUGUUUGUGAAGAUGCAAUCUACCCGUGGCUAGACGGAAAGACCCCAUGAACCUUUACUGUAGCUUUGCAUUGGACUUUGAACCGGUUUGUGUAGGAUAGGUGGGAGACUGUGAAGCCGGGACGCUAGUUUCGGUGGAGUCAACCUUGAAAUACCACCCUGAUUUGUUUGAGGUUCUAACCUUGGUCCGUGAAUCCGGAUCGGGGACCGUGCAUGGUAGGCAGUUUGACUGGGGCGGUCUCCUCCCAAAAGGUAACGGAGGAGUACGAAGGUACGCUUAGGGCGGUCGGACAUCGCCCACAAAGUGCAAUGGCAAAAGCGUGCUUGACUGCGAGACCCACAAGUCGAGCAGGUACGAAAGUAGGUCAUAGUGAUCCGGUGGUUCUGUAUGGAAGGGCCAUCGCUCAACGGAUAAAAGGUACUCUGGGGAUAACAGGCUAAUUCCUCCCAAGAGUUCAUAUCGACGGGGGAGUUUGGCACCUCGAUGUCGGCUCAUCACAUCCUGGGGCUGUAGUCGGUCCCAAGGGUAUGGCUGUUCGCCAUUUAAAGUGGUACGCGAGCUGGGUUUAAAACGUCGUGAGACAGUUUGGCCCCUAUCUGCCGUGGGCGCUGGAAAUUUGAAGGGGGCUGCUCCUAGUACGAGAGGACCGGAGUGGACGAACCUCUGGUGUACCGGUUAUGACGCCAGUCGUAUCGCCGGGUAGCUAAGUUCGGAAGAGAUAAACGCUGAAAGCAUCUAAGCGUGAAACUCGCCUUAAGAUAAGAUUUCCCGGAGUCUUGAACUCCCUGAAGGGUCGUCGAAGACCACGACGUUGAUAGGUCAGGUGUGGAAGCGCAGCAAUGCGUUAAGCUAACUGAUACUAAUUGCCCGUGCGGCUUGAUC